This 508-nucleotide ribosomal RNA is filed under the name uncultured bacterium. RNAcentral's name for it is "partial 16S ribosomal RNA". It matches the Rfam family "Bacterial small subunit ribosomal RNA", at positions 28 to 523 of the family's 1533-position model. The record is from RNAcentral.
GAUGAACGCUAGCUACAGGCUUAACACAUGCAAGUCGAGGGGAAACGAUAUUGGAAGCUUGCUUCCGAUAGGCGUCGACCGGCGUACGGGUGAGUAACGCGUAUCCAACCUGCCCACCACUUGGGGAUAACCUUGCGAAAGUAAGACUAAUACCCAAUGAUAUCUCUAGAAGACAUCUGAAGGAGAUUAAAGAUUUAUCGGUGAUGGAUGGGGAUGCGUCUGAUUAGCUUGUUGGCGGGGUAACGGCCCACCAAGGCGACGAUCAGUAGGGGUUCUGAGAGGAAGGUCCCCCACAUUGGAACUGAGAUACGGUCCAAACUCCUACGGGAGGCAGCAGUGAGGAAUAUUGGUCAAUGGGCGAGAGCCUGAACCAGCCAAGUAGCGUGCAGGAUGACGGCCCUAUGGGUUGUAAGCUGCUUUUAUAAGGGAAUAAAGUGAGCCUCGUGAGGCUUUUUGCAUGUACCUUAUGAAUAAGGACCGGCUAAUUCCGUGCCAGCCGCCGCUGUAA